This 101-nucleotide small nuclear RNA is filed under the name Marmota monax (woodchuck). Lineage: Eukaryota; Metazoa; Chordata; Mammalia; Rodentia; Sciuridae. The record is from RNAcentral.
UUACUUUAGCGGCAAAUAUACUAAAAUUGGAAUGAUACAGAGAAGAUUAGCAUGGCCCCUGCGCAAAGACGACACAAAUUUGUGAAGCAUUCCAUAUUUUU